This 490-nucleotide ribosomal RNA is filed under the name uncultured bacterium. Its description in RNAcentral is "partial 16S ribosomal RNA". It matches the Rfam family "Bacterial small subunit ribosomal RNA", at positions 30 to 507 of the family's 1533-position model. The record is from RNAcentral.
AUUGAACGCUGGCGGCAGGCCUAACACAUGCAAGUCGAACGGUAACAGGAAGAAGCUUGCUUCUUUGCUGUCGCGUGGCGGACGGGUGUGAAAUGUCUGGGAAACUGCCUGAUGGCGGGGGAUAACUACUGGAAACGGUAGCUAAUACCGCAUAACGUCGCAAGACCAAAGAGGGGGACCUUCGGGCCUCUUGCCAUCGGAUGUGCCCAGAUGGGAUUAGCUAGUAGGUGGGGUAACGGCUCACCUAGGCGACGAUCCCUAGCUGGUCUGAGAGGAUGACCAGCCACACUGGAACUGAGACACGGUCCAGACUCCUACGGGAGGCAGCAGUGGGGAAUAUUGCACAAUGGGCGCAAGCCUGAUGCAGCCAUGCCGCGUGUAUGAAGAAGGCCUUCGGGUUGUAAAGUACUUUCAGCGGGGAAGAAGGGAGUAAAGUUAAUACCUUGACUCAUUGACGUUACCCGCAGAAGAAGCACCGGCUAACUCCGUG